GUCCACGCCGUAAACGAUGGAUACUAGCUGUUCGGCGCAAGUUGAGUGGCUAAGCGAAAGUGAUAAGUAUCCCACCUGGGGAGUACGCACGCAAGUGUGAAACUCAAAGGAAUUGACGGGGGCCCCGCACAAGCGGUGGAGCAUGUGGUUUAAUUCGAUGAUACGCGAGGAACCUUACCAGGGCUUAAAUGUAGAUUGACAGGACUGGAAACAGUUUUUUCUUCGGACAAUUUACAAGGUGCUGCAUGGUUGUCGU
Molecule: ribosomal RNA, 256 nt
Filed under: uncultured bacterium
Lineage: Bacteria
Description: partial 16S ribosomal RNA
Rfam family: Bacterial small subunit ribosomal RNA
Source: RNAcentral